UACGGAGGGUGCAAGCGUUAUCCGGAUUCACUGGGUUUAAAGGGUGCGUAGGUGGGUUGGUAAGUCAGUGGUGAAAUCUCCGAGCUUAACUUGGAAACUGCCAUUGAUACUAUCAGUCUUGAAUACCGUGGAGGUCAGCGGAAUAUGUCAUGUAGCGGUGAAAUGCUUAGAUAUGACAUAGAACACCAAUUGCGAAGGCAGCUGGCUACACGAGUAUUGACACUGAGGCACGAAAGCGUGGGGAGCAAACAGG
RNAcentral lists this ribosomal RNA (253 nucleotides) under uncultured bacterium. RNAcentral describes it as "partial 16S ribosomal RNA". It matches the Rfam family "Bacterial small subunit ribosomal RNA", at positions 524 to 776 of the family's 1533-position model. The record is from RNAcentral.